This 497-nucleotide ribosomal RNA is filed under the name uncultured bacterium. RNAcentral's name for it is "partial 16S ribosomal RNA". It matches the Rfam family "Bacterial small subunit ribosomal RNA", at positions 28 to 507 of the family's 1533-position model. The record is from RNAcentral.
GAUGAACGCUGGCGGCGUGCCUAAUACAUGCAAGUCGAGCGAACAGACGAGGAGCUUGCUCCUCUGACGUUAGCGGCGGACGGGUGAGUAACACGUGGAUAACCUACCUAUAAGACUGGGAUAACUUCGGGAAACCGGAGCUAAUACCGGAUAAUAUAUUGAACCGCAUGGUUCAAUAGUGAAAGACGGUUUUGCUGUCACUUAUAGAUGGAUCCGCGCCGCAUUAGCUAGUUGGUAAGGUAACGGCUUACCAAGGCAACGAUGCGUAGCCGACCUGAGAGGGUGUUCGGCCACACGGGAACUGAGACACGGUCCAGACUCCUACGGGAGGCAGCAGUAGGGAAUCUUCCGCAAUGGGCGAAAGCCUGACGGAGCAACGCCGCGUGAGUGAUGAAGGUCUUCGGAUCGUAAAACUCUGUUAUUAGGGAAGAACAAAUGUGUAAGUAACUAUGCACGUCUUGACGGUACCUAAUCAGAAAGCCACGGCUAACUACGUG